AUCCGCUGAAAGCUGCAGGUUUUCUAGACAUCGUCAUGCUGUCCAAAACAUUAGUCGUUCUGGGCUGACCAGCUGGAGAACCUGAGGACUUGCCUGCACCGGAUACCUGCAACUGAUUGGCUUUUUCCAGGGCGAGUUCACUGAGUCUCUGUGCCAGGGCCAUGCGUCUGGAUCGAGAUGCGUAACGGAUGGCGAGCGUCACAACACUGUUUCUCUGGUGUUGCAGACAGGAGUCCAUGUGUUUCCCAAAGUCCGGUUCAGCAGACGCACAACACCCUCAGAGUCAACACAACAUGGCGUUCCUGCAAAAAACAGAAAUCAUUAAAGUAUGCUGAUUUAGUGCUUAAAAAAAAAAAAAAAAAAAAAAA
This 368-nucleotide long non-coding RNA is filed under the name Danio rerio (zebrafish). RNAcentral describes it as "uncharacterized LOC100499487 (LOC100499487)". The record is from RNAcentral. Lineage: Eukaryota; Metazoa; Chordata; Actinopteri; Cypriniformes; Danionidae.